GCCGGUUUAGUUUACUCAAUUCGGUUCAAUCGGACCAUUUUUCCAUUAUUAAUUUAUAAUAAUUUAUUAACCCAAAUUAACUUGGAUAUAAAUUAAAAUUAAUUAUAUUAUGAAUUGAUACACAUAAUUUUGGACUUUUUUAGGCUGGAAAUUAAUUUUCCUUGGUACUUCAAAUUGCUUCUCGAUUUUGUGCUUCUAGCAGUGUCUGCCAAGCCAUUUUUCGCCCUUUUUGUAAU
Molecule: long non-coding RNA, 236 nt
Filed under: Gossypium barbadense (sea-island cotton)
Lineage: Eukaryota; Viridiplantae; Streptophyta; Magnoliopsida; Malvales; Malvaceae
Description: long non-coding RNA (GBAR_LNC004579)
Source: RNAcentral